UCUUUUUUACAUCACCUGAAUUAGAACAGGUGGGUUCUGCCUGAUAAUGAUCCACAGCAGUGCGGACUGAAGCACCUUCACUUUCAUCAUCUGAGUCAAAUGCCACCAACUGAAGGUUGAUUUUCU
Long non-coding RNA from Gopherus evgoodei (Goodes thornscrub tortoise), 126 nucleotides. RefSeq lists it as uncharacterized. The transcript has 3 exons. The record is from RefSeq and is a predicted model, not a curated record. NCBI's taxonomy places the organism in Eukaryota, Metazoa, Chordata, Testudines, Testudinidae.